RNAcentral lists this ribosomal RNA (554 nucleotides) under Agaricus augustus. Its description in RNAcentral is "LSU rRNA". It matches the Rfam family "Eukaryotic large subunit ribosomal RNA", at positions 67 to 620 of the family's 3401-position model. The record is from RNAcentral. Lineage: Eukaryota; Fungi; Basidiomycota; Agaricomycetes; Agaricales; Agaricaceae.
AACAAGGAUUCCCCUAGUAACUGCGAGUGAAGCGGGAAAAGCUCAAAUUUAAAAUCUGGCGGUCUCUGGCCGUCCGAGUUGUAAUCUAGAGAAGUAAUGCCCGUGCUGGACCGUGUAUAAGUCUCCUGGGAUGGGGCUGUCAUAGAGGGUGAGAAUCCCGUCUUUGACACGGACUACCAGUGCAUUGUGGUAUGCUCUCAAAGAGUCGAGUUGUUUGGGAAUGCAGCUCAAAAUGGGUGGUAAAUUCCAUCUAAAGCUAAAUAUUGGCGAGAGACCGAUAGCGAACAAGUACCGUGAGGGAAAGAUGAAAAGAACUUUGGAAAGAGAGUUAAACAGUACGUGAAAUUGCUGAAAGGGAAACGCUUGAAGUCAGUCGCGUUGUCCGGGAAUCAGCCUUGCUUCUGCAUGGUGUACUUUCUGGUUGACGGGUCAGCAUCAAUUUUGACCGCUGGAAAAAGGCCUGGGGAAUGUGGCAGCUUCGGCUGUGUUAUAGCCCCUAGUCGCAUACAGUGGUUGGGAUUGAGGAACUCAGCACGCCGCAAGGCCGGGUUUCG